This 303-nucleotide ribosomal RNA is filed under the name Plectonema sp. CCG32. RNAcentral's name for it is "bacterial SSU rRNA". It matches the Rfam family "Bacterial small subunit ribosomal RNA", at positions 28 to 359 of the family's 1533-position model. The record is from RNAcentral. Lineage: Bacteria; Bacillati; Cyanobacteriota; Cyanophyceae; Oscillatoriales; Microcoleaceae.
GAUGAACGCUGGCGGUAUGCUUAACACAUGCAAGUCGAACGGGUCCUUUCGGGGUUUAGUGGCGGACGGGUGAGUACGCGUGAGAACAUGCCCUUAGGUUCGGGACAACAGUUGGAAACGGCUGCUAAUACCGAAUGUGCCGAGAGGUGAAAGAUAUAUUGCCUAGGGAUUGGCUCGCGUCAGAUUAGCUAGUUGGUGGAGUAACGGUUUACCAAGGCGACGAUCUGUAUUUGGUCUGAGAGGAUGACCAGACACACUGGGACUGAGACACGGCCCAGACUCCUACGGGAGGCAGCAGUGGGG